UCCCUGGCAGUUCAGUGGUUAGGACUCUGCACUUCUACUGCGGGCAGUCCAGGUUCAAUCCCUAGUCAGAGAA
RNAcentral lists this transfer RNA (73 nucleotides) under Bos taurus (domestic cattle). It matches the Rfam family "tRNA". Rfam says of the family: Transfer RNA (tRNA) molecules are approximately 80 nucleotides in length. Their secondary structure includes four short double-helical elements and three loops (D, anti-codon, and T loops). The record is from Rfam by way of RNAcentral. Lineage: Eukaryota; Metazoa; Chordata; Mammalia; Artiodactyla; Bovidae. RNAcentral also lists the same sequence under 4 other names.